UGGCGUGUAAUGUAAUAUGAGAAAAGUGUGUUAUGAGAAGAAUCUCAAGGAUAAAUUAUAUAUUAUAGCAAGUUGAAAGAGAAUGCUUGAUAGAGAGACAAUGGUACCCAGGUAUCUUGAUAUUCUACCAACCAUUUAACUCAUGUAGAGUUGAAUGAGGUGGUAGAGAGAAUGGCAUGAGAUCUUCACGCAAACCCUCUGGGUUUUAGGAGUAGAAGAUCUACCUCAUGGUGAGUAGGUCGAGUUACCCUUGUUUAUAACUCUUAGACUAUAAAUACUACCAUGAGUGCAUGCCUACAGUAGUUUAUAUCAGCAUUAUAUCUGGAUGAGUGAGUAUAGUGGUCUUGUGGUUGUAUGAAUUAUUUGUUCUUGAAUGUUGUUAAUUGUUAAAGCAAAUUAUUAUCUGAUGUUUUUCUUGUGUCUAGCUUACUCUUGUUUUU
This 440-nucleotide long non-coding RNA is filed under the name Vigna radiata. Its description in RNAcentral is "long non-coding RNA (VRAD_LNC003699)". The record is from RNAcentral. Lineage: Eukaryota; Viridiplantae; Streptophyta; Magnoliopsida; Fabales; Fabaceae.